RNAcentral lists this ribosomal RNA (230 nucleotides) under uncultured bacterium. RNAcentral's name for it is "partial 16S ribosomal RNA". It matches the Rfam family "Bacterial small subunit ribosomal RNA", at positions 562 to 791 of the family's 1533-position model. The record is from RNAcentral.
AAAGCGCGCGUAGGUGGUUUGUUAAGUUGGAUGUGAAAUCCCCGGGCUCAACCUGGGAACUGCAUUCAAAACUGACUGACUAGAGUGUGGUAGAGGGUGGUGGAAUUUCCUGUGUAGCGGUGAAAUGCGUAGAUAUAGGAAGGAACACCAGUGGCGAAGGCGACCACCUGGACCAACACUGACACUGAGGUGCGAAAGCGUGGGGAGCAAACAGGAUUAGAUACCCUAGU